CUUGGGGGGCUUUAGUUACAAAAGGUUGAGAACCUCUGCUUUAUCACAUUAAAAAUGGAAAUGACUUCCUGUUUCACAGGGGUAUAAAUAUGAGGUAAGGUGUAUUAAUAGCAUAUGUAAGCUGACAGUAAAACUAAACUCCACAGUUUUUUGCUUGCAUAAAAGGGUUCUGUAAAGUCUCCCAACACUUGUCUGUCAUGAUUCCCCCUUGAAGCAGCGUGCUCUAAGCACGAAUGCGUGAGCACCUGCUUUUCCGUUGUUGACCGUAAUGACAUCUGGACACGUGUGUUUUGUUUAUGUUUCUGUCAUGUCUCCUCCCUGUUCUGUCAUUGGCUGGGAUUUCACGUGGGUCUGUAUUGCUCUCAGCUGCUAGCAGUUUAGACGCUGAUCAUGUCCGCAUAUAUACCGCGCGCCUCCCAGCACACAACGCGGAAGAUUAAUGUCAUAGAGUUAGUUUAGUUCGUACCGUAGUCUCGUUCCAUGUCAUAGAAUUAGUUUAGUCCGUAUCAUAGUCAUAGUCACAGUCACAGUCACGUUCCAUGUUUAAAGUUAGUUAGUGCUGGAUUAUCCGCUUCCAGUUCCUCGUCAUAGUUUGUUUCUCGUUUUGUUUAUCGACCCUGUUUUCCGUGACCACUACCUAGAUUCCUGCCUUGCCCCGUGUAUGCCUGUUUGCCAAUCGCCUGACCUCUUGCAUGUUUAUGGAUUACGUUUUGGAUCACGUUUUGGAUUUGUCUGCCUGUCUCUCUUUCAAAUAAACAACUGUUCAUCCUGCACUUGCAUCCGUCCUAUCUCUGCUCCGUCACGAUUCGUGACAGAAUCUUCCGCCGAAACAUGGAUGCAGCAGGAGAACGGAGGAGACGCAGAACCCAGAAGUCGACGCCAACCGUCCCGGCUAUGGACUCAGUCCACUUCCCACAAUGGACAUUUAUGGAGCUUCCUGAUCCAUUUGACGGAUUUUUCGGUGCCCCUGAAUAUUUUCUGGUAGACUGUCAAUUCUAUUUCGCCAGCCUGUUAGACCCUAAGCCAAAGGAGAAGCAAUGGCUCCAAUUCAUGUGGUCCCGGUUCUUUGGACCGGCCCGUGGGUGCAGCUCAGACUGGAUAAGCACUGUAGGAACCUGGACAGUGUAGAACAGUUUGUGGGGGAAUUCAUGAUGCGAUUCAGGAGUCCGGAGGCGAAGAAUGAGCUAGAACAACUUCUCAGGGGGGUAAGUCUGGCAGGCGAACCUGCCCUGCCGUUUACCCACUACUACAGGCAAAUUCAUGCAGAGCUCAACUCUGAAAUCCAAGUCAAGCCUCCAGUCCCCGAAAUCCCAGUCAAGCCUCCAGUCCCUGAAAUCCAAGUCAAGUCUCAAGUCCCUAAGGUCCAAGUCCCAGUCAAGUCUCCAGUCCCUAAGGUCCAAGUCCAAGUCAAGUCUCAAGUCCCUGAGGUCCAAGUCAAGUCUCCAGUCCCUGAAAUCCAAGUCAAGUCUCAAGUCCCUAAGGUCCAAGUCAAGCCUCCAGUCAGUGAGGUCCAAGUCAAGCCUCCAGGCUCUGAAGUCCAAGUCAAGCCUCCAGUCUCUGAAGUCCAAGUCAAGUCUCAAGUCCCUGAAAUCCAAGUCCAAGUCAAGCCUCCAGGCUCUGAAGUCCAAGUCAAGCCUCCAGGCUCUGAAGUCCAAGCCAAGCCUCCAGGCUCUGACGUCCAGGCCAAGUCUCACGUCCCUGAGGUCCAAGUCAAGUCUCACGUCCCUGAGCUCAGGUUCAAGCCUGCUGAUCCAGUUGACCAAGCUCUGCUAAUAUCUAAGCCUAAUGACCAAGUUCUGCUCACCCCCCAGUCUGCUGACACGCCCAGCCAAGUUCUGCUCAUGCCCCAGUCUGCUGACACGCCCAGCCAAGUUCUGCUCAUGCCACGGUCUGCUGACACCCCCAGCCAAGUUCUGCUCAUGCCACGGUCUGCUGACACGCACAGCCAAGUUCUGCUCACGCCACGGUCUGCUGACACACACAGCCAAGUUCUACUCACGCCACAAUCUGCUGACACGCACAGCCAAGUUCUGCUCACGCCCGAGUCUACUGACAUGGCCACCCAAGCUCCGCCCAUGCCCAAGGUUCACCUGGUGACCUCAGAGCCUCAGCCCCCCUGGUCAACUGUGGACGUCGCUCAGCCUCCCUGUUCAGCUGAGGUCGUCGCUCAGCCUCCCUGUUCAGCUGAGGUCGUCGCUCAGCCUCCCUGUUCAGCUGAGGUCGUCGCUCAGCCUUCCUGCUCCAUGGCAAACAUCAUUCCCCCCUUCUGCUUUGAGGAGACCCACGCUCCUCUCCCUGGCCGCACGGAGACCCACGCUCCUCUCCCUGGCCGCACGGAGACCCACGCUCCUCUCCCUGGCCACACGGAGACCCACACUCCUCUCCCUGGCCUUACAGGGGUCGUCGAGUACAGUGCUCUGUUUCCCUGCUCCUCCGAGGACGUCGCUCUGCCUUCAUGCUCUGCCGAGGACGUCGCUCUGCCUUCAUGCUCCGCCGAGGAUGUCUCUCUGCCUUCAUGCUCUGCCGAGGUCGUCGCUCAGCCUGCCUGCCCGGCUGCGGACGUCGCUCCGCUUUCAUGCUCCGAUGAGAAUGUUGCCCUGCUUCCCUGCUCUGCUGAGUACAGUGCUCUGUUUCCCUGCUCCGCCGAGGACGUCGCUCUGCCUUCAUGCUCUGCAGAGGUCGUCGCUCAGCCUGCCUGCCCAGCUGAGGACAUCGCUCAGCCUCCCUGUUCAACUGAGGACGUCGCUCAGCCUCCCUGUUCAGCCAGGGUCGUCGCUCCACUUCCCUACCCCGCCAAGAACACCGUGCAGUUUCCUGGCUCUGCUUGGGAUAUUCAGUCCAGGGGGCCGGGGCCGCCAAUGAAAUGGGAUGACUCAUGGCACUCCGGGAGGAGUGCCUUUGGGGGGGGGGGGUUCUGUCAUGAUUCCCCCUUGAAGCAGCGUGCUCUAAGUGCGAAUGCGUGAGCACCUGCUUUUCCGUUGUUGACCGUAAUGACAUCUGGACACAUGUAUUUUGUUUAUGUUUCUGUCAUGUCUCCUCCCUGUUCUGUCAUUGGCUGGGAUUUCACGUGGGUCUGUAUUGCUCUCAGCUGCUAGCGGUUUAGACGCUGAUCAUGUCCGCAUAUAUACCGCGCGCCUCCCAGCACACAACGCGGAAGAUUAAUGUCAUAGAGUUAGUUUAGUUCGUACUGUAGUCUCGUUCCAUAUCAUAGAAUUAGUUUAGUCCGUAUCAUAGUCAUAGUCACAGUCACAGUCACGUUCCAUGUUUAAAGUUAGUUCGCGCUGGAUUAUCCGCUUCCAGUUCCUCGUCAUAGUUCGUUUCUCGUUUUGUUUAUCACUGACCCUGUUUUCCGUGACCACGACCUAGAUUCCUGCCUUGCCCCGUGUAUGCCUGUUUGCCAAUCGCCUGACCUCUUGCAUGUUUAUGGAUUACGUUUGGAUCACGUUUUGGAUUUGUCUGCCUGUCCCUCUUUCAAAUAAACAACUGUUCAUCCUGCACUUGCAUCUGUCCUAUCUCUGCUCCAUCACGAUUCGUGACAUUGUCAAAAAAAAAAAAAGAAUAAAAUGGAAAUCUUUUUUUAUUUUUUUAUUUGACUUAUGAUACUCUUGCAGGAAUGACCCCAUAGGUUGAACAACACAAACAAAUAAGGCGAACACUUGACAUGAGGAGGCAUAAUAUUCAUUUGAUAUUUGCAUGUCAUUAUGGCAUUCCAUAUAGUGCACCUGUUAAGAUAUGAUUGUAAUUAAUAAUUUGACCUCGAAUUUAUUGAUACCUCAGUGGCGAUUCACUCAUUUUAUACUAAAAAAUAAGGAUAUAUAAAUAUAAUAAAAUAAUUUCAAUUGCAAUUUUAAAUUAAAUGUUCCAGUUGAUAUUCUCAAUCUUUUUUCCACUUGCAGGGCCACCACAUAGUCUCACUUGCUGCCUCUGAAUCUAUGGACAUCCUGUGACACUCUGGCAAGUGCCCCCAGGCAAGGGCAAGAGGGAAGGAACGAGCAGUGAAACAACCAUGUCUGAAGGCAUGUAUGAGGGGGGCAGCCAGCACUGUAGGGAGAGCUCUCCCCAAACUUUGUAGCCUGGGCCGUUUGGAUGAUGAGGAGGAGGAGUACGAUAAAGGUUAUGAGGAAUUUGAGCAGAUGCUGGAACAGCUCUGUUACGCAGUUUGUUGCCUCUCUCCUGAAGACGAACCUUGAGGUGUUGGAGCAACACCGGCAGAUGAAAACUCGCUCUCCUGGGUGUUUCAGAAGGUGGUGACCAUCUUGUGUGUGUGUGUGUGAGUGUGAAUGAGUGGCAGAGAAAUAUUCAGGGGGUAAAAUUAAAAACUUUGUGUGGGUGUAGUUGUGUGUCAAAAGAGUGAGAAUGAAAUUUUCACCAGGUUGUUUCACUCACAUACUACCUGAGCCUGUCUGUAUUUCUCAAAUUAAAAAAAAAAAGAAGAAGAAGAAUUUUUGAGUCUCUUUGUUCUCCUUUGUACCUGUGAAAAGUAAUUGGCUUCUUACAGAGUUUAAUAUAGUAAAUGGGGCUGGAGAGAUGUAAGGUUGCAGCAUUGUGUUUUGGCAGAACAGCUUUAUUUAAAAGUGCAGGAACUUAUUGACCAUUGAGGCCUUCAGAUUAUGACAUCUAGAUAUAUUUUAUUCUCAAUAAAUCAUACAUAUAUCUCAAUAAAUAAGUCAUCAUUUACAUUUGGGUUAUGAAAUAGUGUUGGUGCUAAACACUGAAACUGUAAUAAAUAUCAGUGAAUCAUACUGUAGUUUCCAGUAGUUACUGUUUAAUUUCCAUAGACUGAGAAACAACUUGUUAGUCAGACCAGGGCUUCACAAUCCUGGUAAUAUGUGCAAUCAUAUGAACAUGAAUUUUUCAGAGAUUGUGGAUGAGUGGAUGGAGGUUCACUAUUCUUGAGCAGUUCACCUUUUUGUGUAUGUUUUAUCUGACUGAGAUCACAACUGUGCUUAUAUUGACAGCAGAAUACUGACUGUUGUUGGGCUGUCACUGUUUAUAUUAAUGAGACUGGCUGAUAGUAUGUCUGACAUUGUGACUACUGUUUUGUGAUAUUGAGGGUUUCAAAUUUAGGUGUAUGUUGUAUAUCUUAUAGAGAUCUUCUCUAAAAUACUCCCUGAUCAGAACCGUGCUUAUAUUGGAAGCAGAAUACUGAUUAUUGAUGGGCUCUCACUGCUUAUGUUAAUGAGACUGGCUAAUAAUAUGUCUGAUAUUGUGACUACUUUUUUUAUGUUUUUCUUUAGGUAAUGCAAUUCAUUCAGAAGUUUCUAAACAAUGUUAAAGAUUUUUGUGUUCUUUUAUGCCUGGUCUUGGCACUCAUAAUAAGGUAUAAUGGGUGCCAAGACCCAAUAUUAAUUAAUGCAAUAUGAUGUAAUUUAUUUUUUGUUCCUUGAUUAUACAAAAGCUUCUUUGCCUCUUUUUUCAUUUUGUAAUUUUUUUUUAGAACUGCUUGUGAAAUGUUUUCUCCCUCAUCUGUGCUUUUUUGUAACACUGCCCUGGUAUGCUAGCCUGGAAGCUUCAGGCAUAUAAAAAAAAAUGGAACAGUGUGGGGUUUCUUUGCUGUUACCUUAGCUGAACCCUGGGCUGAACUCAAUGCACUGUACUGCUGGCAGGAAGGAUAUGAAGAAGAGAGAGAAAGGGGGAUACAAGCAAGAGGCUAAGCAUGUUCAGCUAGCGGACAUGCUCGUCAGUGAAUGGGAAGCACAUUUUGAACCGCUAUAACAGGACAUAUUUGGUUACAAAAUAACAGAAUAUGGCCUCCAACAACCACCUCCUACCAUUCCUCUUUGUCUAUGGUAAGUGUUCUUUUCUUUCCUUUCCAUUUUAUUCUUCAUGUGUGGAUCAGGCAUUUCCAUCCAUCUCUCCCAGUGUGUCAGAUAGCUUAUCAGACUGGUG
Molecule: long non-coding RNA, 5889 nt
Organism: Ictalurus punctatus (channel catfish)
Lineage: Eukaryota; Metazoa; Chordata; Actinopteri; Siluriformes; Ictaluridae
Source: Ensembl